RNAcentral lists this long non-coding RNA (463 nucleotides) under Rattus norvegicus (Norway rat). RNAcentral's name for it is "long non-coding RNA NONRATT033432". Lineage: Eukaryota; Metazoa; Chordata; Mammalia; Rodentia; Muridae. The record is from RNAcentral.
GCCAUGGACAGGCUUACUUCCUCAUUCCUACUGCUGAUAGUCCCUGCAUAUGUCCUGGCCCAGGUGACUCUGAAAGAGUCUGGCCCUGGGAUAUUGCAGCCCUCCCAGACCCUCAGUCUGACUUGCUCUUUCUCUGGGUUUUUACUGAGCGCUUCUAGUGUGGGUGUGGGCUGGAUCCGUCAGCCUUCAGGGAAGGGUCUGGAGUGGCUGGCAACCAUUGGGUGGGAGGAUGUUAAGCACUACAACCCAUCUCUGAAGAGCCGGCUCACAGUCUCCAAGGACACCUCCAACAACCAAGUAUUCCUCAAGAUCACCAGUGUGGACACUGCAGAUACUGGAACAUACUACUGUGCUCACAGUGCACACUGACACAGCCUCAGUUUUCAGCUGUACAGUAUUUCAGGCUGCUUCUCAGCUCUGUUCCUUCCUAUUAUAUCAUAAGAAUGUAUGAUAUAAUACAUGG